AAAGUCAUUGCUAGUGACCUAAGAAUUGGGGAACUUUUUUUUUUCCGUUUUUUUUUUUUUUUUGAGGAAGAUUAACCCUGAGCUAACUACUGCCAGUCUUCCUCUUUUUGCUGAGGAAGCCUGGCCCUGAGCUAACAUCCGUGCCCAUCUUCCUCUACUUUAUACGUGGGAUGCCUACCACAGCAUGGCGUGUCAAGCGGUGCCAUGUCCGCACCUGGGAUCCGAACUCGCGAACCCUGGGUUGCUGAGAUGCAGAACGUGCGCACUUAACUGCUGCGCCACCAGGCCGGCGCCCAGAACUGGGGAACUUCAAGUUCCAUUUACCCAAAGCAAAUUUAUUCUUAGAAGAAUCUCUCAACUCUGAAAUAAGAGCAGAUCUCCAAAUCCUAAGGAAGAUUAGCCUCUCUGAGCUAACAUCUGCCACCAAUCCUCCUCUUUCUGCUGAGGAAGAGUGGCCCUGAGCUAACAUCCACGCCCAUCUUCCUCCAUUUUAUACGUGGGAUGCCUGCUACAGAAUGGCAUGCUAAGCGAUGUGGAGAUCCUCACCCGGGAUCUGAACCUGCGAACCCCGGGCCCCCCGAAAGCGAAAUGUGCGAACUUAACCACUGCACCACACAGCCGGCCCGAGAAAAACGUUUUCUGUAUUUACCCUCACAUUUACCAUUUUUUUUUCUUCAUUCAUUAUUUAGGAUUUCUUUUAAUAUUUCUCGUAGUGCGUGACUGCUGGUGACAAAUUCUCUUAGUGUUUGUUUGCAUGAAAAUGUUUUUGUUUUACCUUCAUCUUUGAAUGGCUUUCAUUGGCAGGAUAUGUAAUUCUGUUCUGACAGGUUUUUUUCCUUUCAGUGCUUUAUUGGUAUUCCUUGCAGCAAUUAAUCUACCAAUCUAUUCCUCCGUCCAGGAGUUAUUCUCUUUGUUCCCUCUUCCCUCAUGACAUUCUAUGCAAGAAGGUAAGAUCCAUAUUGAGCCAGCGUGGGAGCAGUCCUGACUUGGAAAACCCCAUGUCCUACACGAGCCAAUAUCCCUUCUAACAACUCCUUAGCCAUAUCUUCCAAGGUCCUCUCUUGUGACUGUGCUCAGUGAAGGCCAAAAUUAUGGCUUCUCACCAGGUGUAUAUGGCCAUAUCUAGAACUCUCAGUCCAGUUGCAAUCUUUCAAUCAGGGUUCAUUAUGUUGCUUAGUAUCAACAUGACAUUUCACU
Equus caballus (horse) is the source of this 1197-nucleotide long non-coding RNA. The record is from Ensembl. NCBI's taxonomy places the organism in Eukaryota, Metazoa, Chordata, Mammalia, Perissodactyla, Equidae.